RNAcentral lists this ribosomal RNA (253 nucleotides) under uncultured bacterium. Its description in RNAcentral is "partial 16S ribosomal RNA". It matches the Rfam family "Bacterial small subunit ribosomal RNA", at positions 524 to 776 of the family's 1533-position model. The record is from RNAcentral.
UACGUAGGUGGCAAGCGUUAUCCGGAAUUACUGGGCGUAAAGCGCACGCAGGCGGUCUUUUAAGUUUGACGUGAAAGCUCCCGGCUUAACUGGGAGAGGUCGUUGAAUACUGGAAGACUUGAGGCAAUGAGAGGGGUGUAGAAUUCCCGGUGUAGUGGUGGAAUGCGUAGAUAUCGGGGGGAAUACCAGUGGCGAAAGCGGCUCCCUAGCGUGAGCCUGACGCUCAUGUGCGAAAGCGUGGGGAGCGAACGGG